Long non-coding RNA from Drosophila grimshawi, 313 nucleotides. RefSeq lists it as uncharacterized. The transcript is spliced from 3 exons. NCBI's taxonomy places the organism in Eukaryota, Metazoa, Arthropoda, Insecta, Diptera, Drosophilidae. The record is from RefSeq and is a predicted model, not a curated record.
GACAUACACAUAAAUACAGCAUGCCCUCGAGUUUUUGUCGCUGCAUCCUGCGGCCAAAGGAAGCGGAGAAGUUGAAGCAGCAGCAGCUGGUGAUGCUGCCGCAAGCGCAAUCAUAAGCCAACACCUAAGCACGUCAACAACACUGGCAGUCUCCAGCUGGCAAAUGCGAAAUCAGAAAAUGCAGCUUAUAGCUUCGGCUCUAAUACUGACUGCUUACUGUGUGCUACUUGAGCGUAAAUUGCACAGCUCCAGCAGAGGAGCCAGAAUCGGAGUUGGAGUUGGAGUCCGAAUCCGGAACACACAAAGCCGCGCA